RNAcentral lists this ribosomal RNA (460 nucleotides) under uncultured bacterium. RNAcentral's name for it is "partial 16S ribosomal RNA". It matches the Rfam family "Bacterial small subunit ribosomal RNA", at positions 338 to 795 of the family's 1533-position model. The record is from RNAcentral.
CCUACGGGAGGCAGCAGUGAGGAAUAUUGGUCAAUGGGCGAGAGCCUGAACCAGCCAAGUCGCGUGAAGGAUGAAGGCCCUACGGGUUGUAAACUUCUUUUGUCAGGGAGCAAUUGGGUCCACGCGUGGGCUUAGCGAGAGUACCUGAAGAAAAAGCAUCGGCUCACUCCGUGCCAGCAGCCGCGGUAAUACGGAGGAUGCGAGCGUUAUCCGGAUUUAUUGGGUUUAAAGGGUGCGUAGGCGGAACAUCAAGUCAUCGGGAAAAAUUCGGGGCUCAACCCCGUCGUGCCGUUGAAACUGUUGUUCUUGAGUGGGCGAGAAGUAUGCGGAAUGCGUGGUGUAGCGGUGAAAUGCAUAGAUAUCACGCAGAACUCCGAUUGCGAAGGCAGCAUACCGGCGCCCAACUGACGCUGAAGCACGAAAGCGUGGGUAUCGAACAGGAUUAGAUACCCCUGUAGUC